This 484-nucleotide ribosomal RNA is filed under the name uncultured bacterium. RNAcentral's name for it is "partial 16S ribosomal RNA". It matches the Rfam family "Bacterial small subunit ribosomal RNA", at positions 30 to 507 of the family's 1533-position model. The record is from RNAcentral.
AUUGAACGCUGGCGGCAGGCCUAACACAUGCAAGUCGAGCGGAUGAAGGGAGCUUGCUCCUGGAUUCAGCGGCGGACGGGUGAGUAAUGCCUAGGAAUCUGCCUGGUAGUGGGGGAUAACGUCCGGAAACGGGCGCUAAUACCGCAUACGUCCUGAGGGUGAAAGUGGGGGAUCUUCGGACCUCACGCUAUCAGAUGAGCCUAGGUCGGAUUAGCUAGUUGGUGGGGUAAAGGCCUACCAAGGCGACGAUCCGUAACUGGUCUGAGAGGAUGAUCAGUCACACUGGAACUGAGACACGGUCCAGACUCCUACGGGAGGCAGCAGUGGGGAAUAUUGGACAAUGGGCGAAAGCCUGAUCCAGCCAUGCCGCGUGUGUGAAGAAGGUCUUCGGAUCGUAAAGCACUUUAAGUUGGGAGGAAGGGCAGUAAGUUAAUACCUGGCUGUUUUGACGGUACCAACAGAAUAAGCACCGGCUAACUUCGUG